AUGUCAGCAGAGCCCAGUGACAUCUGGGAUUCACCAGGAGCUGUGGGGCCCUUUGUGUCUGGGAACUCCUGGCUGUUGUCAGCGGAGAGGCCCCGGUCGCUGUUCGGCAUCCUGCUUAUGGGACUCCAUAGCAACAGCAUCUUUAUCUACUGGAUGUGUCCACGUGGCUGGGCAACAUCACAGGUGUUGGUGGGAAUCCGAAAUGUGGACACUGACGCUAAGCUGGCCUCGAAAUCCACCAUAUCUGUUCUCAAGAUCCAUGCCAGGGAGAUUUUUAACUCAUGGAAUCCCACUGUUGAGGUUGGGAUCUCCUCACCGCAAAAGGUCUCUUCAGAGCUGCUGUGCCCAGUGGUGCUUCAACUGGUAUCUCUGAGGCCCUAGGGCUCCGGGACAAUGAUAAGACUCGCUAUAUGGGGAAGGGUGUCUCAAAGGCUGUUGAGCACAUCAAUAAAACUAUUGCACCUGCCCUGGUUAGCAAGAAACCGAAUGUCACAGAACAAGAGAAGACUGACAAACUGAUGAUCGAGAUGGAUGGAACAGAAAAUAAAUCUAAGUUUGGUGCGGAUGCCGUUCUGGGGGUGUCCCUCGCCGUCUGCAAAGCUGGUGCCGUAGAGAAGGGGGUCCCUCUGUACCACCACAUCGCCGGCUUGGCUAGCAACACUGAAGUCAUCCUGCCAGUGCCGGCAUUCAACGUCAUCAAUGGUGGUUCCCAUGCUGGUAACAAGCUGGCCGUGUAGGAGUUCAUGAUCCUCCCCGUGGGUGCCGCAAGCUUCAGGGAAGCCACGCGCAUUGGAGCGGAGGUUUACCGUAACCUGAAGAAUGCCACCAAGGAGAAAUAUGGGAAAGAUGCCACCAAUGUGGGCGACGAAGGCGGGUUUGCGCCCAACAUCCUAGAGAAUAAGGAAGGCCUGGAGCUGCUGAAGACUGCAAUUGGGAAAGCUGGCUCCACCGGUAAGGUGGUCGUCGGCAUGGAUGUGGCGGCCUCCGAGUUCUACAGGUCUGGGAAGUAUGACCUGGACUUCAAGUCUCCUGAUGACCGCAGCAGGUACAUCUCACCUGACCAGCUGGCCGACCUGUACAAGUCCUUCAUCAAGGACUACCCAGUGGUGCCUAUCGAAGAUCCCUUUGACCAGGAUGACUGGGGAGCAUGGCAGAAGUUCACAGCCAGUGCAGGAAUCCAGGUGGUGGGGGAUGAUCUCACAGUGACCAACCCGAAGAGGAUUGCAAAGGCCGCAAAUGAGAAGUCCUGCAACUGCCUCCUGCUCAGAGUGAACCAAACUGGCUCUGCGACCGAGUCUCUGCAUGCGUGCAAGUCGGCACAGGCCUGUGGCUGGGGCAUCAUGGUGUCUCAUCGUUCUGGGGAGACUGUAGACACCUUCGUUGCCGACCUGGUGGCGGGGCUGUGCACUGGGCACAUCAAGACUGGUGCCCCUUGCCGAUCUGAGUGCUUGGCCAAGUACAACCAGCUCCUCAGAAUUGAAGAGGAGCUGGGCAGCAAGGUUGUUUGCUGGCAGCAACUUCAGGAACCCCCUGGCCAAGGAAGCAGUGGGCCGGCCAGGCCUUCAGUCGCCUGUUGGCUAA
Saimiri boliviensis boliviensis (Bolivian squirrel monkey) is the source of this 1581-nucleotide non-coding RNA. The record is from RefSeq and is a predicted model, not a curated record. NCBI's taxonomy places the organism in Eukaryota, Metazoa, Chordata, Mammalia, Primates, Cebidae.